This 232-nucleotide ribosomal RNA is filed under the name uncultured bacterium. RNAcentral's name for it is "partial 16S ribosomal RNA". It matches the Rfam family "Bacterial small subunit ribosomal RNA", at positions 100 to 334 of the family's 1533-position model. The record is from RNAcentral.
CGGGACGGGUGAGUAAUGUCUGGGAAACUGCCUGAUGGAGGGGGAUAACUAUGGAAACGGUAGCUAAUACCGCAUAACGUCGCAAGACCAAAGAGGGGGACCUUCGGGCCUCUUGCCAUCGGAUGUGCCCAGAUGGGAUUAGCUAGUAGGUGGGGUAACGGCUCACCUAGGCGACGAUCCCUAGCUGGUCUGAGAGGAUGACCAGCCACACUGGAACUGAGACACGGUCCAG